AACGAAGACCACACUUAGCUAACAUUUAGAUAGACUUUCAGAAACAAAAUGGCCUACGUGGGUCUUAGGAAACCACCACGACCCACAGUCAGGGUUUACAAUGAUUCGGACUAAAACGAACGUUUACUGAACCAGAACAGUUAUAGCUUUACGAUGUUACAAUCAAACUUUCGAAACACGAAGUUUAAACUUCUGUGUAUAAUGAUUGUAGCAUUAUUUGAUGCUGUGAUAUCUGAUGGACCUUACGGUUGCGAAGAUUUGGAUUUUGGAAUUUACGAGUGUGAUUUCCGUUUAGUUAGCACACCCUUUAAUUCUGCCGAUUUCUUUCCGCAAAAGCCACAACAGCUGACUCUGAAAUAUGUAAAUAGGCCUUUGACUUCAGGACUUUUUGCUGCAUUCGCUGAUAUAGACACGGAUUCGUUUGUUAUGGGUGGUGAACCAGCCAGAUUGGAUAUAGUUUGCUCUUACGGUGUCUCACUCAUGAUGGACCCUGGUGCGUUUACCGGGCUUAACUGGAUUCAAGCUGUAAGCUUCAGCAGAUGUCAACUGGUAACAUUCCCCGAGUCGGCCUUUGCUGCCUUUGGGACCCUAGACAGUCUCGCAUUCUAUGGUGGAACACUGGGCAACGUAGACAGAGAUGGCCUCAAAGGUUUAAAUAUUGCCGAAGACACGUCUUUAUUUGAUCCCAAGGGGGAGAUCGUGUUUGAUAGAGCCCAGUUCUCAAGCGGCAGAAUCCCCUUUAGCUUCCUCUCACACGCUAAGAAUGCUAGCAGUGUCAUCCUCAACUCGAAUGGUGUGAAGACAAUUGAUGCGUUGGUUUUGGACGGAUUCUUCGAUCUGAAGAGACUAACUCUCAGUGGCCAGCAGUUUGAUUCCUUGCCCAGCGACACCUUUUACGGCCUGGAUGGAUUGGGUCAUAUCACUAUGGACCGUAUGCCUUGGGAAUGCACAUGCGAGAACGCCUGGUUCUUCACGUGGGCGUUCGUGCGGAAGGCCACAUUGGAAGGUGAUCUCAUUUGUAAUGGACCAGCCGACUAUAAAGGUCAGAGGUUCAGAGUAUUUAACAAUGUACUUUGCCCCUCAGUAGACGAGGAUUCAACAGCAACAAGUAUAGAUCUAUUUGGGAUUAGCAUGGAGAUUUAUGAUCUUGUGAGUUAUUGUGUUACUAUCAUCGCAUUGGUAAUAUCAAUUAUUGGACUGGCUAUUGCCUGUCACAACAAGAAACGACUAUCAAGAGUCACCCCCGUGGAAACACUUACAUCGGUCAAGAUUGACAAGACAAACCAAAGUAAAGUAACAGGGGGAGUGAAGGGAAAAUUUCAGACAGCUGUUAAGAAAAUCACGAAACCAGUUGGUAAAAGUAAGGGAAAUGCAUGGGGAUAAUACAGAUGAACUAGUGCAUACAAUGAAAUAGUGAAUACAAUGAAUUAACUAGUGCAUGGGGAUAAUAAGAAUGAAAAAGUGCGUGGGAUAAUACAAUGAAAUAGUACAUGGGGAUAAUAGAAAUGAAAUAGUGCAUGUGAUAAUACAAUGAAA
Molecule: unclassified non-coding RNA, 1536 nt
Filed under: Owenia fusiformis
Lineage: Eukaryota; Metazoa; Annelida; Polychaeta; Sabellida; Oweniidae
Description: misc RNA OFUS_LOCUS761
Source: RNAcentral